Protopterus annectens (West African lungfish) is the source of this 728-nucleotide long non-coding RNA. RefSeq lists it as uncharacterized. Lineage: Eukaryota; Metazoa; Chordata; Ceratodontiformes; Protopteridae. The transcript has 3 exons. The record is from RefSeq and is a predicted model, not a curated record.
UGUUGAUGAAUGCAAUACAACAGGAAUCUGUGCCAAUUUUUCAGCAUGUAUCAAUACAGAAGGAAGUUACACAUGCACAUGUCAGCAAGGAUUCCAGUCAAAGUCUGGAAAGCAUAAUUUCACUGAUGUAGCCACUUCUGGAUGUGUAGAUGUUAAUGAGUGCCAGCAAAAUAAAGAAAUCUGUGGUAAUCACUCUAAAUGUGAUAAUACCAAUGGAAGCUACAAAUGCACAUGUCAGCAAGGAUUCCGACCUAAGUCUGGGAAAAAUAGUUUCACUGAUGCUUUCACUUCUGGAUGUGAAGAUGUUGAUGAAUGCAAUACAAUAGGAAUUUGUGGCAAUUUUUCAGCAUGUAUCAAUACAGAAGGAAGUUACACAUGCACAUGUCAGCAAGGAUUCCAGUCAAAGUCUGGAAAGCAUAAUUUCACUGAUGUAGCCACUUCUGGAUGUGUAGGUAAGGGCAUUAUUGUAGUUGUUAAGGCAGACAAAGCUUUACAGUUCUGUAAUGUCUUACAUCUACUACAAAUGUAAUCAUCUGUGCAUUAUUUAUUUGUUCAUUUAUUCAUUUUCUGAUAACCUGUUAAAUCCAGUUCAUGGUUGCAUGGGAGCAGGAGACCUACUUAGCACAGAGAAAAUACAAUGCAGUAAAACAAAAAUCAUGAUUAGGAUGUGAGUCAGUUACAGGUCUCACACAUGCAUACACACUCAUGCCGUCCCAUGCCACACAUAC